Molecule: ribosomal RNA, 243 nt
Filed under: Candidatus Poseidoniales archaeon
Lineage: Archaea; Methanobacteriati; Thermoplasmatota; Candidatus Poseidoniia; Candidatus Poseidoniales
Also listed under: 1 other name
Description: Marine Group II euryarchaeote (marine metagenome) partial 16S ribosomal RNA
Rfam family: Archaeal small subunit ribosomal RNA
Source: RNAcentral
GUUCAUAGUUCGGAUUGAGGGCUGUAACUCGCCCUCAUGAAGCUGGAUUCCGUAGUAAUCGUGUUUCAAUAUAGCACGGUGAAUAUGCCCCUGCUCCUUGCACACACCGCCCGUCAAACCAUCUUAGUUGGGGGUGGGUGAGGCUGCGCUUUAUGGCGUAUUCGAGCCUGCCUUCGACAAGGAGGGUUAAGUCGUAACAAGGUAUCUGUAGGGGAACCUGCAGAUGGAUCACCUCCUAAGAAA